RNAcentral lists this ribosomal RNA (207 nucleotides) under uncultured bacterium. RNAcentral describes it as "partial 16S ribosomal RNA". It matches the Rfam family "Bacterial small subunit ribosomal RNA", at positions 568 to 774 of the family's 1533-position model. The record is from RNAcentral.
CGCGUAGGCGGGCCAUCAAGUCCGGGGUGAAAUCCUUCGGCUUAACCGGAGAAUUGCCUUGGAUACUGGUGGUCUUGAGGGAAGUAGGGGUCUGCGGAACUUCCGGUGGAGCGGUGAAAUGUGUUGAUAUCGGAAGGAACGCCGGUGGCGAAAGCGGCGGACUGGGCUUCUUCUGACGCUGAGGCGCGAAAGCUAGGGGAGCAAACG